GUCAGGAAGACCACCGCGCAACCUUCACGAGGCCCCCAUAAGGC
RNAcentral lists this unclassified non-coding RNA (44 nucleotides) under Sorangium cellulosum So ce56. Lineage: Bacteria; Pseudomonadati; Myxococcota; Polyangiales; Polyangiaceae. The record is from RNAcentral.